GCUCCGUUCGUCUAGUGGCCUAGGACGCUGGCCUCUCACGCCGGAAACACGGGUUCGAAUCCCGUACGGAGUA
RNAcentral lists this transfer RNA (73 nucleotides) under Nocardioides sp. Its description in RNAcentral is "tRNA-Glu". It matches the Rfam family "tRNA". From Rfam's summary of the family: Transfer RNA (tRNA) molecules are approximately 80 nucleotides in length. Their secondary structure includes four short double-helical elements and three loops (D, anti-codon, and T loops). Further hydrogen bonds mediate the characteristic L-shaped molecular structure. tRNAs have two regions of fundamental functional importance: the anti-codon, which is responsible for specific mRNA codon recognition, and the 3' end, to which the tRNAs corresponding amino acid is attached (by aminoacyl-tRNA synthetases). tRNAs cope with the degeneracy of the genetic code in two manners: having more than one tRNA (with a specific anti-codon) for a particular amino acid; and 'wobble' base-pairing, i.e. permitting non-standard base-pairing at the 3rd anti-codon position. Lineage: Bacteria; Bacillati; Actinomycetota; Actinomycetes; Propionibacteriales; Nocardioidaceae. RNAcentral also lists the same sequence under 3 other names. The record is from RNAcentral.